UGGCGCCUGCGCGAUUCUCAGGCGCAGGGGCGGGCCGCGGUGGCGCGCGCACCGUGGGUCUCGCACCUGCCCUGGCUGAAGACCUGGGGCUGCGUGUCCUCGUGGCCUUCCCGCGGUGGGACAGUCGCUUCUUUCUUAAGGCACAAGCGGAGCAGGGGUAGAGAGAAGGGGAUAGAGAAUCAGAAGUGGACUCUUGGCUGACAACAGCUAGCCCGAUGAGUUUGAACUCAUGAACCGUGAGGUCAUGACCUGAGCCGAAGUCAGACCCUCAACCAGCUGAACCACUGAGGUGCCCCUGCAAUCCUGUUCUGCUGGAUAAGUCCUUGUACUUUACUCCUUUGCUGGCUUCUGCCUCACAUUUGCUAGUGCAAAAUGGAACCAAUAUCCUUUGGACUCUGAAAAAGAAUUGCUGCUUCAGUACCCAACUGGCUGAAAGAAGAGAGAAGACAUUAAGGAUCACAUGCAGUGAUCAAAACCAUUUUUACAAAACCAAGUAAAGCUCAACGAGUGGACUACAUCCGACUAUAAAAGCUUCUGCACAGCAAUAGAAAUAAUCACCAAAAUGAAAAGGCAACCUACAAAAUGGGAGAAAAUAUUUGCAAACCAUAUAUCUGAUAAGGAGUUAAUUUCCAAAAUAUAUAAAGAUCUCAUAUAACUGAAUAACAAAAAAUAACAACCCAAUAAAAAAAUGGGCAGAGGAACUGAAUAGGCAUUUUUCCUAAGAAGAGAUUCAUCUGAAUGCCAGCAGGUACAUGAAAAGAUACUCAACAUCACUAAUUAUCAGGGAAAUGUAAUCUUAACCACAAUGAGGUAUCACCUCACAACUGUUAGACUGUCUAUUAACAAAAGGACAAGAAAAUAACAACUAUUGUUGAGGAUGUGGAGAAAAGGGAACACUCAUGUACUGUAGGAGGGAACGUAACUGGUUUAGCCACUAUGGAAAACAGUGUGGAGGUUCCUCAAGAAAUUAAAAAUAGAAUUACCAUAUGAUCCAGCAAUCUCCCUUCUGAGUAUAUGUCCAAAGCAAAUAAAAAAAGGACAUAGGAAAGAUAUAUGAACUCCUAUGGUCACUGUAGUUGCAUUAUUCACACUAGCCAAGAUAUGGAAACAAUCUAUGUGUCAACAAAUGAAUGGAUAAAGGAGCUGUGGUUUAUAUAUAAAAUGGAAUAUUAUUCAGCCAUGAGAAAGAAGGAAAUCCUGCCAUUUGCAACAGGAUGGAUGGACCUCAAGGGCAACAUAAGUGAGACAAGGCAGACAGAAAAAGACAAAUAUUGUAUUCUAUCACUUAUAUGUGGAAUCUAAAAAGCUGAACUUGUAGAAACACCGUAGAGUGAUGGUUCAGGGCUGAGGCUGGAGGGACAGGGGAGAUACUAGUCAAAGAUAAAACCUGCAGUUAGAAGAUGAAUAAAAUCUGGAGGCUAUCGUGUUGUGCUAACAGUUAACAACACUAUUUAUAUACUUUAAAGUCGCUAAGACACUAGACCUUAAAUAUUUUCACCAUAUAAAAGAAAUGAUAAUUAUGUGACAUGAUGGAGGUGAUAGCUAAUGCCAUGGUGCUAAUCAUAGUACAGUAUGUAAAUAUAUCAAACCAACACUUGUACACUUUAAAAUUACACAAUGUAUAUACACCAAUUAUAGCUCAAUGGAAAAAAAAAUCUUUACAAUUUGAGAAAUGAACAAAAUAAAACAAGAUGGAAUUUAAAAGGUAAAUAUAAGGAUAUGAACUUGGAUAUAGAAAAACUUCGUAAGACUAGGAGGGAAGAAACAUGGCUUAAAAGGAGCUUAUGAAAAAUUCCAAGUGAUUUCAACUGGACAAUAAAUUAGGUAUUAAUCAACAGUAUUAUGUAAACAAAAUAGUUAAUGAAAACUUAGAAUGUAUUAAUAGAAACAUGCUUUCUAAAACAAGCUGGUGACAGGUCUUCUCUGGGCUGGUUAAAUGGUUAUGUUUAAUUCUGAUCAUCACAAGUUAAGAAAGAAAUUGAAAUAUGCUCAGAAGACUAGAAAGAGGACAGAAAUAAAAACCCUCAUAAAUGUCUCAUAAGAAUACUACUUUUAGAGCAAAGGUGUUUGCUCUAAUGAAGAAAAGACCAUCAGAAUCACACUUUUCGAAUAUCCGAAGUGACGUCAUGUGGGAAAGAAUAUAGAUCUGCUUUGUAAGAUCCCAAAUGUUAGAAGAUGGACUGACGAAUACGAGCAAUUAAGAGACUCUUGCUUCCAUAUAUGGAAAGUCUGUCUGAUGGUCAGAUGAGACCAUCAUUUACUUGUGAGGUUAGUAUCAAGCCAAGUAUUCUUCAGCAUUCAAAUGGAGGCUGGAGAACCCUUUGAAAGAGGUUGCUUUACAGAGGCUUCAAUUUUACCUGGAUGGUUAGACAGAAGAUAUCUUAAUUAUGAGAUUAUUGUUCCUGAAAUGGGCUGCCCAUGCUAACUACUCUCUUCAAAAUACAUUUGGGAAACAGAGGGGAGCCCUUGUUAUUAUCAAUUUCUACACUCUUAUAGACCCUACUGUCCGUGAGCAUUGAUUAAUAUUAUAUUAUAUUAAUAUUAUUCUUCAUCUUUUUAAUUUAUAUAUUGUUUCCCUUUAGAAUUGUAAAACUCUUAAGAGGAAAGAGAAAAAAAAUAUCUCAUAUAUAUUGGUUUCCCGGGAAUCUAGCGGUAAUUUCUAUCCAUAGUACAUGCAAAAUAAAUACUGCAUAUUUUGAUGGUGAAUAUGGGAGACUCCUCAGAUUAAAAAAAUAUUUUUCCCAAAGCAGAGAUUUCACAUUUUUACAUACAAUUCGUAUAGCUCUAAGACAUACUGUCAUGCUUGAACAGUGCUCUUUAUCCUUUCACAUAGUAUCCCUUCGGGAUCGACAGUAAUAGAAUAGUAUAUCAUUAUUACUGUAAAGGUCAAACAGAUUGACUAUGUAAAAUAACUUGGAACAAAUUUUUAUACAUAUAGCCAGCACUCAAUAAGUGACAGCUACUCUCAAGAUAAUACUGGAGAGGGCUGUUCCAGUGUUGCCAGAGAGCUGGUGUGGUGUGAUGUUUUCAGGCUACAGAUGUUGACGAUUUCCAUCACUAUCUUCUUGCUGAGAGAUCAUUUCUUACAGGGUGGGUGGUAAAGUUUUUGUAUCCAUUGGGUAGAAUCUUCCUAUCUCAGGGAUCUGCAUAAAGGCUUACUCAGUGAAGAAAGAAGACAAAUAGUCUAGUUUUCCAUUUCACCAUUAACACUGUAAUUUUUAUCACAUGUAAAUGAACGGAGUCUCAAGUGACUCAGAGUCCCCACAAUCAACUCCUUAUCCAACAAUCAAACUUCAUUAUAAUUGCAGCCAUCUUCUCAUGUUUAGUGAAAGCAUUCAGAUUUGCCAUAUAGUUGUUGAUUCAGUGUUUAGCCCCAAAAAGGUAUUUGCUAAAUAAGCCAAAGUUAUGAGGCCUUCCUUAGCACUGGGGUGGACAAGUAAGCAAUUCAACAUGGACAGACAUUUAUUCCUGGUUGUGAUGUAUUUUCCCCGUGAAGGAAAACAACUCACUCUUCAAUUUAAAAUUUCUGAUAACCACUCUGCUUCAGCUAAGCCUACAUUUAUUUGUGUAAUGGAGCAAGCUUUCAAAGUCA
Molecule: long non-coding RNA, 3592 nt
Organism: Prionailurus viverrinus (fishing cat)
Lineage: Eukaryota; Metazoa; Chordata; Mammalia; Carnivora; Felidae
Exons: 5
Source: RefSeq, a predicted model, not a curated record